Long non-coding RNA from Macadamia integrifolia, 2393 nucleotides. RefSeq lists it as uncharacterized. The record is from RefSeq and is a predicted model, not a curated record. The transcript is spliced from 3 exons. Lineage: Eukaryota; Viridiplantae; Streptophyta; Magnoliopsida; Proteales; Proteaceae.
AUUGACGGAGGGUAAUUUACAGCACAACCCCUUCAAGAAUAUCAGUAUUAUAGGAAUACACCUUCUCAUUCACCAAAUUAGACUCAAACCCCUUACCGUCGGUUUCUAUUAAAUGAAAAGUUAAAAUGAUUGUUAUACCCUCCCUAUUAACUAAAACUCAGGUUUUACCUCCAAUAUUCAGUAUGAGCUCUUCGAUGGCGACAACGGCGGAAACCCAAUAGCCCUCCCGUGCAACGAAAGAUCUAGCUCUCUUAACCAAUUCUUCCUCGACAGUACAGAUCUAAACAAGUGAAUUUGUCAUCGCCAAUCUCCAAGCAUUCAAUCGAUUAGAGGAUGGAUACGAUCCCGCAUGAUGAUGGUGGUUGUCAACACCCUUGUGGAGACUGCAACGAAAUGAACCAGGAUGACCUAUUUUGGGGGAUUCUUAUUUAUCCAGUUAACUGGAUCAUCUUCUUGGUUUAGAUUUUGGUUUUGUUUACCAUUGAUUAAUUGUUCAAUCUCGUUUUAAGAUUUUGUUUAAUCUAAAACAUUUAUUUGAAACAAAUUUUUAGUUUUCGAGAAUGUAAUUUGGGAGAAAGGAAGAGAAUGAGAUGAUGAUUUAUGGAUUGUUUCCCCAUUGUUUGAUUGCUGCCAUGAUGGCAUCUAAAGUAUUAGCUCUAGCUGAUCAUUCUCUCCCAUCUUUCAUCUUUACAUCCAUUGGGAUUUAAGCCGGAUUGGUCAGAUAUUUUACUUCCAUUGUUGGUUAUGAUUCUCGGUUUCUCCAGAGCUGUGAUUCUAAGGUUUUUUUUGGUACCGGAUCUUGAUCAAAUUAAUUUUAAAUUAGCAGAUUGGGAUUUUUUUUUAAUCGUAGCCACAAAUCAUGAACUUUGUACAGGGAAAGGAAAUUUUGUGGUAGAGACAUCCCUAGAUUUGGACGGAGAAUACAAAGCUCUGGCGUCAUCUUCAUCUCUAGCUGGUUGGCUUGGAUAUUUAUUCUUGCAGAGUUCACGGCGUGCGGUGUUCAUAUGGUCCCGCGGCUAAGGCUGACAAGUCAGUGAAGUUAGUUCGCAAGGCAUUGAAUUGAGGGAGGAAAGGGCCUGCAAAGGGUCGUGCGAGUGUUCCAUGGGGAAAGCUCAUCUCCGGUGCUCACAGGUGAGUUUAGAUGUUUAAUCUCAUUUAUGGGAUUUGGAUCAUUUAAUACCUUGCCAAACUCUAUACUGCUCCUGGAGAUGGAUGAGAAGCUCUCCGCGAUCGCCAAGUACCGGGCGACAUACCUACCACUCGUGCCACUGAUACUGGUGGCACUAAUCAACCACCUGGAGGUGGUGAAGGAGAAAUAUGAUCUUGGACUACUCUUCCUUCUCCGUUUCCACGAGAUGACAUCAAUGUUUCCGCAUCUCAUACUCAUAAAACAACGGCACCUCGUCUCCCGAAAGCAAAACAGUCCUCAUGCCGCCAUUGUCGUCGCCGGUGCCGCAGUGAUCUCCGGUGCUCUGAACGAUCAUCGGUGGUCCAAAUGAUUUGGGGCUAAGGCUCGAUCAAGAUCCUAUAUCCAUGAGCAACUCUUCAAGGAGCGAGCUGCCAUUGUUUAACCAUGGUUUAAGAAAUAAAAUGAAGGGUAAUUUAUAGCGCCACCCCCUGAAGGGUUGGAGCGAGCAUCUUCAGCGGGUAGCAUGGUCUUUUUCUGCAUCAAUAUUUCUUGGCGAAAAUAUAUAUCAACAGGCCACAGAGGACUAAUGACCUAACUUGUGGUCUUCACUGAAAUGCUGGACUCAUCUUUGAAAGCUUUUGCAAUUAUUUUCAAGUAAGAACUAUUACACAUGAUAAUGACUUAUUAUAUGCACUGGGUAAUAGUGUGAAAUUCUAUCCCUACAAGGAAAUGAAAUGUCCUAGUUAGGAGCAUAAAUCUCAGACAUUGUGAUUGCUAAAGAAAUUACGGAAGAAAUCCAAAAUGGCAUACAUAUUCUCGGACGGAAAAUAGGGAAAACAUUACUCAAAAAUAUACUUUACUUUUUAUAACAUAUAUUGCUUAUUCGUUGCUUUCUCUUUGUUUUUUUUAUGAUCAUCCAACCCGGAAGCGCACAAGAUGCAGAAGUCCGAGGCAUCUUGCAAGGAUUGCAAGAAGCGCAAGGACAAUGAUGGGCGAAGGUAGACAUUUGGACUGUUUGUACAGAAGCAAUUGGAUGGCUUACCCUAGAGACUAAAGCGUGGAUGGCCUUGGGAGAUUUUUGUUCUAUUAACUGAUGGUAUAAAUAGUAUACUCUUUUAAGAAUGUAUGUAUAAGUAAGGUGGGUAGGUCUUUUACGGUUAUAGCUCAUGGUUUAGCUAGACAUGCUAAGUAGAAACACUUACAUUGUACUAUAGAUGAUGCAUAUUUCUCCAGUUUAUAUGAAUGCUAAGUUCGUUUUCAAAAA